GACGAACGCUGGCGGCGUGCCUAAUACAUGCAAGUAGAACGCAGUUGCGAACGGGUGAGUAACGCGUAGGUACCUGCCUCAUAGCGGGGGAUAACUAUUGGAAACGAUAGCUAAUACCGCAUACUGUGAGAUGGACCUGCGUUGUAUUAGCUAGUUGGUGAGGUAAAGGCUCACCAAGGCGACGAUACAUAGCCGGCCUGAGAGGGUGAGCCGCCAAACCGGGAACUGGAACAGGCCCCGACUCCUACGGGAGGGAGCAGUAGGGAAUAUUGGACAAUGGGCGGAAGCCGGAUGGAGCCAUGGCGCGGGUAUUAAGAAGGUCCUCGGGUUGUAAAGUACUUUUAGGCGGGAGGCGUUACCCGCAGAAGAAGCACCGGCUAACUCCGUGCCAGCAGCCGCGGUAAUAC
Molecule: ribosomal RNA, 407 nt
Filed under: uncultured bacterium
Lineage: Bacteria
Description: partial 16S ribosomal RNA
Rfam family: Bacterial small subunit ribosomal RNA
Source: RNAcentral